RNAcentral lists this ribosomal RNA (254 nucleotides) under uncultured bacterium. Its description in RNAcentral is "partial 16S ribosomal RNA". It matches the Rfam family "Bacterial small subunit ribosomal RNA", at positions 524 to 776 of the family's 1533-position model. The record is from RNAcentral.
UACGAAGGGGGCUAGCGUUGUUCGGAAUUACUGGGCGUAAAGCGCACGUAGGCGGGUUUGUAAGUAGGGGGGUGAAAUCCCAGGGCUCAACCCUGGAACUGCCUUCUAAACUGCAAGCCUGGAGGUCAGGAGAGGCGAGUGGAAUACCGAGUGUAGAGGUGAAAUUCGUAGAUAUUCGGUGGAACACCAGUGGCGAAGGCGACUCGCUGGACUGAUACUGACGCUGAGGUGCGAAAGCGUGGGGAGCAAACAGG